CAGAGGGUGCAAGCGUUGUUCGGAAUUAUUGGGCGUAAAGCGCGUGUAGGCGGCUUUGCAAGUCGGGUGUGUAAGCCCUCAGCUCAACUGAGGAAGUGCGCCCGAAACUGCAGAGCUUGAGUACCGGAGAGGAUGGUGGAAUUCCCCAAGUAGAGGUGAAAUUCGUAGAUAUGGGGAGGAACACCGGUGGCGAAGGCGACCAUCUGGACGGAUACUGACGCUGAGACGCGAAAGCGUGGGUAGCAAACAGGAUUAGAUACCCUGGUAGUCCACGCCGUAAACGAUGAGAACUAGGUGUCGUGGGUGUUGACCCCCGCGGUGCCGUAGCCAACGCAUUAAGUUCUCCGCCUGGGAAGUACGGCCGCAAGGCUA
RNAcentral lists this ribosomal RNA (372 nucleotides) under uncultured organism. Its description in RNAcentral is "bacterial SSU rRNA". It matches the Rfam family "Bacterial small subunit ribosomal RNA", at positions 526 to 896 of the family's 1533-position model. The record is from RNAcentral.